This 73-nucleotide transfer RNA is filed under the name Treponema sp. Its description in RNAcentral is "tRNA-Trp". It matches the Rfam family "tRNA". From Rfam's summary of the family: Transfer RNA (tRNA) molecules are approximately 80 nucleotides in length. Their secondary structure includes four short double-helical elements and three loops (D, anti-codon, and T loops). The record is from RNAcentral. Lineage: Bacteria; Pseudomonadati; Spirochaetota; Spirochaetia; Treponematales; Treponemataceae.
AGGCGUAUAGCUCAGUUGGUAGAGCGGCGGUCUCCAAAACCGCAGGUCGAGGGUUCGAGACCUUCUGCGCCUG